RNAcentral lists this ribosomal RNA (494 nucleotides) under Oreina frigida. RNAcentral's name for it is "partial 16S large subunit ribosomal RNA". It matches the Rfam family "Bacterial large subunit ribosomal RNA", at positions 1843 to 2598 of the family's 2925-position model. The record is from RNAcentral. Lineage: Eukaryota; Metazoa; Arthropoda; Insecta; Coleoptera; Chrysomelidae.
UAAUUUAAGGUUUAACCUGCCCACUGAAAUUUUAAAUGGCCGUGGUAUUUUGACCGUGCUAAGGUAGCAUAAUCAUUAGUUUUUUAAUUAGAAACUGGAAUGAAAGGUUGGAUAAGAAAAUAGCUGUCUCUGUUAAAUUUAAUUAGAAUUUUAUAUUUAAGUUAAAAAGCUUAGUUAUUAUUAAAAGACGAGAAGACCCUAUAGAGUUUAAUUAUUUAAUAAAAAUUAUAUUUUAGUAUUUAUUUAUUUAUUUUAUUAAAUAAUUUAAUUGGGGUGAUUGAAAAAUUUAACUAACUUUUUUUAUUUAAGAACAUUAAUUUAUGAAUGUAUGAUCCAAUAUUUUUGAUUAUAAGAUAAAAUUACCUUAGGGAUAACAGAGUAAUUUUUUUAGAAAGUUCAUAUUAAAAAAAAAGAUUGCGACCUCGAUGUUGGAUUAAAAUAAAUUUUUGGUGUAGAAGCUAAAAUAUUAGGUAUGUUCGACCUUUAAAAUUUUA